This is a long non-coding RNA of Xiphophorus couchianus (Monterrey platyfish), 1853 nucleotides long. RefSeq lists it as uncharacterized. NCBI's taxonomy places the organism in Eukaryota, Metazoa, Chordata, Actinopteri, Cyprinodontiformes, Poeciliidae. The record is from RefSeq and is a predicted model, not a curated record. The transcript is spliced from 2 exons.
AAAGCGGUGGCAGCAGAUGAACUUAUAGUCACAUCAGUAAACUUCAAAACACAAUAAAACUUAAUGUCCCAUGUUAUCACUAAUGUCAUGAUUGGUGAGAUUUGGCAAAUGGCUAACAUACAUAUAUACAUGUACAUGUAUAUAUAAAACAUAAAUACAGAAUGCCUGUGUUGUCAUAACUUGUAGUUUACUUCAUCUCCACAAGGUGGCAGCAGUUAGCAAGAGAUGUCAAACUAGAAUGAGUAGAAGGAACAUUUUUAUAUUUAAUCAUAGUACAUUGGAGCACUGUUGCCUUGCAGCAAAAAGGUUCUGGGUUCAAUUCCCGACCCGGGUUCUUUCUGCAUGUUGUCCCUGUGCAUGGUGGGUUCUGUCCGGUUUCCUCCCACAGUCCAAAAACAUGACUGUCAGGUAAACUGGUCUCUCUAGAUUCUCCCUAUGUGUGAGUGUGUGUGUGCAUGGUUGUUUGUCCUGUCCGUCUCUGUGUUGCCCUCCGAUGGACCAGCGACCUGUCCAGGGUGACCUCACCUCUCGCCCGUUGGCAGCUGGAGAUGGGCACCAGCACCUCUCCUGACCCCAAUGGGAUAAGGGUGUUCAGAAAAUGGAUGGAUGGAUAGCACAUUGGUUCCAGUGUUGCAAAAAGGAUAAGAUUAUAACUAUUGUACAACUAUAUAAGGAUUACAUUAAAGUGGGAAAAGCAAAGCAAAGUCUCAAUCCUAAAAAAACAAAAGCAAUGUUCAGGGAUCAUUACAUAAAGCCUUUAUGGACUCAUUCAGAUGCAUAAUACCAGGUGUUUAUUUUAAAAGCCCUGGUUGAAAACCAACAAGAAGUAACCCAGAUGGUCAUCAGCUGGUUUUUGGUGCAACAAGGAGGAUUAUCAACAUUGCUUUAAGGCUUUGUGAUCUGAAAACGUCUAACCUGCUCCUUCUUGAUUCUUCCAGGCGGGUGUUUGAAAUGCAAACUUCUUGUUCAGAGACGACCUGAAGGGGGAAGGACUGGGAGAAAGUGUUCACAGGAAGCUAGAGAAGCCCUGCAGAGUUGGGAUUGCUCCCCCACUGGUUGGUGGCACCAGGACAAUGGGUGGGUAAAGUUUUGCCAUUACCUGAAUUUCCCCCUUUGUGGGACAAUAAAAGCUUCUGACUUGUUCCGUCUUCAUGUUUCCACGAUGGCGUGAAGCAAAACACAAACGUACGUAACGAUGUGCGUUAUGGAUAUUUUCUAGAGUGAAAUGAGAAAAACAAUUUCAGGAUUCUUAUUUUUGUAUAGAUGUGAGUCCUUCAUAAGCAUCAAUAAUUUUUGUUUCAUAGUCAAAGCAGAAUAAAGAAUUUAACUCAAUUAUGCUGGAGAGUUAAUAUAUGAAGUUUGCAAUUUGCUAAGUGCUAAUCAGUAUGUUCUAGGCGAGUGAAAUGAUUUGUGUUCCUUGACCAGAAAGUAACCUGGGCUGCAGUGGUGAGAGCGAAGCAGCAGACCAUCAGGGAGGUCACCUGUGAGACCAGAGUGACCGUCUAAACCUCACGGUAGAAAAUGUUUUGCUCAAGCUGCAACCGUCACCGUCAGACAUAUCAACGUCCUCCAGCUGCAAUUUAUCAUUUGUAUAAGAUUCUUAUCUACCAUAUUGUCACCUUCAUAAAAUAAGUCAUUUUCUUUGCCAAGGUCAGGUAACAACAUUCAAAGUGCAAUGUAAAAUAUGCAAAUGUUAAAGGUCACUGCAAAACUCGCUGCUGCAUAGAUUCAAAUCUGCAGCACAUAAAUAAAUCAUCCUGCCUGAAAACUCCCCUGAUCUCAGUUUGGUAGGACUUGUGCUGAAGUUCUCUGAAAUGGAAGCGUGCAAAUUCACACACAGGUAAAAAAAUAUU